CCUCCUCGGCCUGCUGCGGGCAGAUGAAGUGGAUGUGGCUGUCGAUGCCGCCGGCGGUGAGGAUCUUACCCUCGCCAGCGAUGAUCUCGGUGCCCGGGCCGAUGAUGAUGUCGACGUCGGGCUGGAUGUCGGGAUUGCCGGCACGGCCGAUCGCGGCGAUGCGGCCGUCGAUGAUCGACACGUCCGCCUUGAUGAUGCCCCAGUGAUCAACGAUCAGCGCGUUGGUGAUGACGGUAUCCGCCGCGCCCUCGGCCUGCGUCGCCUGCGACUGGCCCAUGCCGUCGCGUAUG
Molecule: small RNA, 290 nt
Filed under: Acidisphaera rubrifaciens HS-AP3
Lineage: Bacteria; Pseudomonadati; Pseudomonadota; Alphaproteobacteria; Acetobacterales; Acetobacteraceae
Description: 5' ureB small RNA
Rfam family: 5' ureB small RNA
Source: Rfam by way of RNAcentral